CAGCAUAGAGUAGCAAUACUUUGAUGGCGACCGGCACACGGGUGAGUAACACGUAUGCAACCUACCUACAUCAGGGGAAUAACCCGGAGAAAUUCGGACUAAUNCNNCAUAAUACAGGGAUGCCGCAUGGCAAUAUUUGUUAAAGAUUUAUCGGAUGUAGAUGGGCAUGCGUUCCAUUAGCUAGUUGGUAAGGUAACGGCUUACCAAGGCAACGAUGGAUAGGGGAACUGAGAGGUUUGUCCCCCACACUGGAACUGAGACACGGACCAGACUCCUACGGGAGGCAGCAGUGAGGAAUAUUGGUCAAUGGACGAGAGUCUGAACCAGCCAAAUCGCGUGAAGGAAGACUGCCCUACGGGUUGUAAACUUCUUUUGUACAGGAAUAAAAGACAUUACGUGUAAUGUAUUGCAUGUACUGUACGAAUAAGCAUCGGCUAACUCCGUGCCAGCAGCCGCGGUAAUACGGAGGAUGCGAGCGUUAUCCGGAUUUAUUGGGUUUAAAGGGUGCGCAGGCGGGAUUUUAAGUCAGCGGUGAAAUUUUCAGGCUCAACCUGAACACUGCCGUUGAAACUGGGAUCCUUGAGUAUGGAUGAAGUAGGCGGAAUUCGUUGUGUAGCGGUGACAUGCUUAGAUAUAACGAGGAACUCCGAUUGCGUAGGCAGCUUACUAAGCCAUAACUGACGCUCAAGCACGAAAGCGUGGGGAUCAAACAGGAUUAGAUACCCUGGUAGUCCACGCCGUANACGAUGAUUACUAGUUGUUUGCGAUAUACCGUAAGUGACUAAGCGAAAGCGAUAAGUAAUCCACCUGGGGAGUACGCCGGCNACGGUGAAACUCNNNGGAAUUGACGGGGGCCCGCACAAGC
RNAcentral lists this ribosomal RNA (865 nucleotides) under uncultured bacterium. RNAcentral's name for it is "bacterial SSU rRNA". It matches the Rfam family "Bacterial small subunit ribosomal RNA", at positions 67 to 930 of the family's 1533-position model. The record is from RNAcentral.